Molecule: transfer RNA, 72 nt
Filed under: Planctomycetota bacterium
Lineage: Bacteria; Pseudomonadati; Planctomycetota
Description: Planctomycetes bacterium (groundwater metagenome) tRNA-Val
Rfam family: tRNA
About the family: Transfer RNA (tRNA) molecules are approximately 80 nucleotides in length. Their secondary structure includes four short double-helical elements and three loops (D, anti-codon, and T loops).
Source: RNAcentral
GGGCUGUUGGCUCAGCGGAAGAGCACUUGCUUCACACCCAAGGGGUCAGAGGUUCGAAUCCUCUACAGCCCA